CAAUCGGCCCUUUUCAGGGCCACCAAUAAUUCUAACGUAAAUCAU
This is a non-coding RNA of Nasonia vitripennis (jewel wasp), 45 nucleotides long. NCBI's taxonomy places the organism in Eukaryota, Metazoa, Arthropoda, Insecta, Hymenoptera, Pteromalidae. The record is from Rfam.